RNAcentral lists this long non-coding RNA (534 nucleotides) under Homo sapiens (human). Its description in RNAcentral is "non-protein coding lnc-RCBTB2-5:1". Lineage: Eukaryota; Metazoa; Chordata; Mammalia; Primates; Hominidae. The record is from RNAcentral.
UGAAUCCCAAAGGAGACUGCAGCUGAUGAAAGUGCUUCCAAACUGAAAAUUGGACGUGCCUUUACGAUGGAUUUUUUACUUCACAACACGGAAUUGGCCAUUUGGAGAUUUACUUUGUAAGAUUUCUGUGAUGCUGUUUUAUACCAACAUGUACGGAAGCAUUCUGUUCUUAACCUGUAUUAGUGUAGAUCGAUUUCUGGCAAUUGUCUACCCAUUUAAGUCAAAGACUCUAAGAACCAAAAGAAAUGCAAAGAUUGUUUGCACUGGCGUGUGGUUAACUGUGAUCGGAGGAAGUGCACCCGCCGUUUUUGUUCAGUCUACCCACUCUCAGGGUAACAAUGCCUCAGAAGCCUGCUUUGAAAAUUUUCCAGAAGCCACAUGGAAAACAUAUCUCUCAAGGAUUGUAAUUUUCAUCGAAAUAGUGGGAUUUUUUAUUCCUCUAAUUUUAAAUGUAACUUGUUCUAGUAUGGUGCUAAAAACUUUAACCAAACCUGUUACAUUAAGUAGAAGCAAAAUAAACAAAACUAAGGUUUU